CCCCUUUGUAAUCGGAGCCGGGGGGCCUAUAUACCGUCUGCCGGCUUGCCGGCUAUGGCGAUAAACGGUGCGUGGAAUAAGCGUUGUGGACCCGGGGGCAGUGCCCGGCGCCUCCACCAUUUCUCCGGCCCAGACAUGCGGCGGGCCGGCGUCGGGGGGCGAAACAGGCUCGACACGCGUGGUAAAGACUCAUCUUUUGCUCGGCAUGGUUCCGCCGUCAUCGGGCCGUAUCACAAGUGCCAACGACAACAACAUGGCGCUCGCUGCCGCCUAAACAACGGUAAGCGCGGUUAGGGGGGCCCCGGGCAACAGAAUGCCCCCCACU
This 325-nucleotide transfer-messenger RNA is filed under the name Rhodospirillales bacterium. It matches the Rfam family "Alphaproteobacteria transfer-messenger RNA". From Rfam's summary of the family: Bacterial tmRNA, also known as 10Sa RNA or SsrA, is named for its dual tRNA and mRNA-like properties. Its role is to liberate the mRNA from a stalled ribosome. To accomplish this part of the tmRNA is used as a reading frame that ends in a translation stop signal. Lineage: Bacteria; Pseudomonadati; Pseudomonadota; Alphaproteobacteria; Rhodospirillales. The record is from RNAcentral.